AGAACGAACGCUGGCGGCAGGCCUCAAACAUGCAAGUCUAGGGGGUGUAGCAAUACAUCACCGGCGGACGGGUGCGUAACACGUGGGAAUAUACCUUUUGGUUCGGAACAACGCAGGGAAACUUGCGCUAAUACCGAAUGUGUCCUUACGGAGAAAGAUUUAUCGCCAAAGGAUUAGCCCGCGUCCGAUUAGCUAGUUGGUGAGGUAAUGGCUCACCAAGGCUCCGAUCGGUAGCUGUUCUGAGAGGAAGAUCAGCCACACUGGGACUGAGACACGGCCCAGACUCCUACGGGAGGCAGCAGUUGGGAAUCUUGGACAAUGGGGAAACCCUGAUCCAGCCAUGCCGCGUGAGCGAUGAAGGCCUUCGGGUUGUAAAACUCUUUCGACGGGACGAUAAUGACGGUACCCGUAGAAGAAGCUCGGCUAACUUCGUGCCAGCAGCCGC
Molecule: ribosomal RNA, 445 nt
Filed under: uncultured bacterium
Lineage: Bacteria
Description: SSU rRNA
Rfam family: Bacterial small subunit ribosomal RNA
Source: RNAcentral